This 500-nucleotide ribosomal RNA is filed under the name uncultured bacterium. Its description in RNAcentral is "partial 16S ribosomal RNA". It matches the Rfam family "Bacterial small subunit ribosomal RNA", at positions 28 to 507 of the family's 1533-position model. The record is from RNAcentral.
GACGAACGCUGGCGGCGUGCCUAAUACAUGCAAGUCGAACGAACAGCGACUUGCACUUGUUCAAGUCAAUGUUAGUGGCGCACGGGUGAGUAACACGUGGAGAACCUACCCUUAAGCGGGGGAUAACCAUUGGAAACGAUGACUAAUACCGCAUAGAAUCACAGAUCACAUGAUCAAUGAAGGAAAGACGGCUUCGGCUGUCACUUAAGGAUGGCUCCGCGGUGCAUUAGCUAGAUGGUGGGGUAAAGGCCUACCAUGGCAAUGAUGCAUAGCCGACCUGAGAGGGUGAUCGGCCACAUUGGGACUGAGACACGGCCCAAACUCCUACGGGAGGCAGCAGUAGGGAAUCUUCCGCAAUGGACGCAAGUCUGACGGAGCAACGCCGCGUGUGUGAAGAAGGUCUUCGGAUCGUAAAGCACUGUUGUUAGAGAAGAACGACCGGUAGAGUAACUGUUACCGGAGUGACGGUAUCUAACCAGAAAGCCACGGCUAACUACGUG